AAACAAUCCAGGACUCAUAUUUCAG
Molecule: non-coding RNA, 25 nt
Filed under: Rattus norvegicus (Norway rat)
Lineage: Eukaryota; Metazoa; Chordata; Mammalia; Rodentia; Muridae
Source: RNAcentral